GCCAAAUCACCACCUGCUUAUCCUCUGGGAAUAUUUUACGCCUUGUUGAUGGGAGAGCCAAGAGAAGGGUGUGGACAUUGGGGUGCCCCCUUCGCCAGCCUUCCUCACUGAGGCUUCUCCCGCACUGCUGUCCCCUCUGCUUCCUUUUAGCCUGUUUCAAUAGCUACCUCCUUCAGUGCCCUACAUAUAAAUGGUUACCAUAUUUCCUAGCGAGAGUCGGGCUGUGAUAGAGCUAGAUCCUGACUUGCUAUGAUCUGACGGCACCGAAGAUAAACACAGCGGGUGGAUAAUUUCCUGACUUUGAAUUGUUUUACUUGCCAUCCCUGAUACCUCUUGCUGUUUCUAGAAAGUAGGCCAUUUUGUAAUCCAAUUGCAGUGAAUUUCACUGAAAAAGAAAAAAAAGGGGGUGGCGGGGGGGAAAGCAAGCUGAGAGAAGUUUCGAAUUGUUUCAACGUGCUCGCCCCUGUCUUAAAAUUGAGAGCAAAACUAAAAUAGUCCUGGUGCAAAAAUGCAAACAAAAUACAAAUCUCCCCUUCACACAUGCUAUUUCUGUGGGAGCUGGCCUUUUUUGCUCUGAACACUGAUUAGGAAAAAAACAACUCAGAUCAUGACACACAUAAGAAUGACUUCAUUUUUUGGUGGCCUUAUUGGUGGUCUCCUCAAGGUCAGAACAUUUGAGGAGCAUUCAUAAAUGGAAUUGCUUAGUCGCGUUCUGUAUUUUUCGAUCUCUUUUCCUGCUCUCCCCUUCAGAUUUCACAGUGAACUUUUUGAAACCCAACUAGACGAGACCCUGUGUGAAGCAGUCAAGACAGAAUCACCGGAAGACAGUGGCAAUGAGGGAAAAGAAGGCUAUCGUGAGGAUGAAAUGGACUCCAGCCCUGAUCCUUCCAAUGGCAUGGAGGUCGAACAGCCUGAACCAACUGCCUCAAAGGAAGGGGCUCCCGCUCGAGAAACGGCCCAGAGAACAUUUCUAGAUUUUGUUUUUGGAGAUCUUCCUCCAAAGUCACUGAUCAAGAUCAAACCCUUCUUUCCAAAACCACCACUACCUCAGCGAAGACCACAAACAAAGCCGCCGUUCUUUGUCACUGAAACUUGUGACACUCCUGAAAACAGAAGACAGGAACCCAUCACAGAUGCUCUGAAAAACACAGAGAAGAAAGACCAUCUGAAGAAACAUUUUGUUCGGAUCGGGGGCAUGUUGGUUUUGCCAGUACCUGUAGAUGGUCCACUCUUCACCGAUGAGGAAAAAUGAAUGUGGACCAUGGGAUUGCAGAGGAGAGCAAGAUCUCGCAGCUGGAAACGUGCUACUAUGUUUUAGAUAAUAAAGUCACAGACUGGCGAUGACUCUCCA
RNAcentral lists this long non-coding RNA (1351 nucleotides) under Pogona vitticeps (central bearded dragon). Its description in RNAcentral is "lncRNA (ENSPVIG00000020795.1)". Lineage: Eukaryota; Metazoa; Chordata; Lepidosauria; Squamata; Agamidae. The record is from RNAcentral.